This 468-nucleotide ribosomal RNA is filed under the name uncultured bacterium. Its description in RNAcentral is "partial 16S ribosomal RNA". It matches the Rfam family "Bacterial small subunit ribosomal RNA", at positions 28 to 507 of the family's 1533-position model. The record is from RNAcentral.
GACGAACGCUGGCGGCGUGCUUAACACAUGCAAGUCGAACGGAAAGGCCCUGCUUUUGUGGGGUGCUCGAGUGGCGAACGGGUGAGUAACACGUGAGUAACCUGCCCUUGACUUUGGGAUAACUUCAGGAAACUGGGGCUAAUACCGGAUAGGAGCUCCUGCUGCAUGGUGGGGGUUGGAAAGUUUCGGCGGUUGGGGAUGGACUCGCGGCUUGUCAGCUUGUUGGUGGGGUAGUGGCUUACCAAGGCUUUGACGGGUAGCCGGCCUGAGAGGGUGACCGGCCACAUUGGGACUGAGAUACGGCCCAGACUCCUACGGGAGGCAGCAGUGGGGAAUAUUGCACAAUGGGCGGAAGCCUGAUGCAGCAACGCCGCGUGCGGGAUGACGGCCUUCGGGUUGUAAACCGCUUUCGCCUGUGACGAAGCGUAAGUGACGGUAAUGGGUAAAGAAGCACCGGCUAACUACGUG